ACAGAAAGAGAUCGCGCAACUCAAACAGGAUGGAGAGACCAUGCGGAAAGAGACCGUGGGGAAUCUGCAGCGCUUGUCAGAGCGAGUUCAGGCCGAAGUGUCCGACCUCAAAUCGUCUCUUAAAAGCUGGCAGUCGGAGGAUAGUGCCCGGGCACUGGAGAAGCUGGCCCGCCUGGAGCAGGAGCUGAC
This is a non-coding RNA of Lepisosteus oculatus (spotted gar), 189 nucleotides long. The record is from RefSeq and is a predicted model, not a curated record. NCBI's taxonomy places the organism in Eukaryota, Metazoa, Chordata, Actinopteri, Semionotiformes, Lepisosteidae.